CCUACGGGGGGCUGCAGUAACGAAUCUUCCGCAAUGCACGCAAGUGUGACGGAGCGACGCCGCGUGUGGGACGAAGCCCCUCGGGGUGUAAACCACUGUCAGGGGCAGCCAAGUCCUGAGGCGCCCCAGAGGAAGGCACGGCUAACUCUGUGCCAGCAGCCGCGGUAAGACAGAGGUGCCGAGCGUUAGGCGGAAUCACUGGGCUUAAAGCGUGUGUAGGCGGACCCCUAAGUACCUUGUGAAAUCCCACGGCUCAACCGUGGAACUGCUCGGUAUACUGGGGGUCUUGAGCCACUUAGGGGUCAGCGGAACAAGCGGUGGAGCGGUGAAAUGCGUAGAUAUCGCUUGGAACGCCAACGGUGAAAACAGCUGACUGGGAGUGCGCUGACGCUGAGACACGAAAGCCAGGGGAGCGAACGGGAUUAGAUACCCUUGUAGUC
RNAcentral lists this ribosomal RNA (440 nucleotides) under uncultured bacterium. RNAcentral describes it as "bacterial SSU rRNA". It matches the Rfam family "Bacterial small subunit ribosomal RNA", at positions 338 to 795 of the family's 1533-position model. The record is from RNAcentral.